CUUAGAGAAAGCAAAAAGGAGGGACUCCCAGUGACCUGAUGGCAGACAGUCACCUUCUCAUACGUAACAGGGCAUCUGCAUAAAAGGAUUCCAUAAAGCCUGAAAGAAUUCCCUACCUCUAAAUGUGACUUAUAUCUUCUUAUCUGGGUGAUAACAGCUAGUCUUCAUUUGGCUUCUUAGAAGGGCACCAAGCCAGAACCCAAUCAGAGUCCCGGGAAUCUGCGGAUACCUGUCAACCACAGACACCUGUGAC
Long non-coding RNA from Cervus elaphus (red deer), 253 nucleotides. RefSeq lists it as uncharacterized. The record is from RefSeq and is a predicted model, not a curated record. Lineage: Eukaryota; Metazoa; Chordata; Mammalia; Artiodactyla; Cervidae. The transcript has 3 exons.